This 501-nucleotide ribosomal RNA is filed under the name uncultured bacterium. Its description in RNAcentral is "partial 16S ribosomal RNA". It matches the Rfam family "Bacterial small subunit ribosomal RNA", at positions 30 to 523 of the family's 1533-position model. The record is from RNAcentral.
AUUGAACGCUGGCGGCAGGCUUAACACAUGCAAGUCGAGCGGAGCGAGGGUGCUUGCACCUUAGCUUAGCGGCGGACGGGUGAGUAAUGCUUAGGAAUCUGCCUAUUAGUGGGGGACAACAUUCCGAAAGGAAUGCUAAUACCGCAUACGCCCUACGGGGGAAAGCAGGGGAUCUUCGGACCUUGCGCUAAUAGAUGAGCCUAAGUCGGAUUAGCUAGUUGGUGGGGUAAAGGCCUACCAAGGCGACGAUCUGUAGCGGGUCUGAGAGGAUGAUCCGCGACACUGGGACGGAGACACGGCCCAGACUCCUACGGGAGGCAGCAGUGGGGAAUAUUGGACAAUGGGCGGAAGCCUGAUUCAGCCAUGCCGCGUGUGUGAAGAAGGCCUUUUGGUUGUAAAGCACUUUAGGCGAGGAGGAGGCUACUUAGAUUAAUACUCUGGGAUAGUGGACGUUACUCGCAGAAUAAGCACCGGCUAACUCUGUGCCAGCCGCCGCCGUAA